UGGGGAAUCUUCCGCAAUGGACGAAAGUCUGACGGAGCAACGCCGCGUGAGUGAAGACGGCCUUCGGGUUGUAAAGCUCUGUGAUCCGGGACGAAAGAGCCUGAGGUAAAUAGCCUAAGGAAGUGACGGUACCGGAAAAGCAAGCCACGGCUAACUACGUGCCAGCAGCCGCGGUAAUACGUAGGUGGCAAGCGUUGUCCGGAAUUAUUGGGCGUAAAGCGCGCGCAGGCGGCUUCCUAAGUCCAUCUUAAAAGUGCGGGGCUUAACCCCGUGAUGGGAUGGAAACUGGGAAGCUGGAGUAUCGGAGAGGAAAGUGGAAUUCCUAGUGUAGCAGUGAAAUGCGUAGAGAUUAGGAAGAAAACCGGUGGCGAAGGCGACUUUCUGGACGAAAACUGACGCUGAGGCGCGAAAGCGUGGGGAGCAAACAGG
This 429-nucleotide ribosomal RNA is filed under the name Fusobacteriota bacterium. RNAcentral's name for it is "Fusobacteria bacterium partial 16S ribosomal RNA". It matches the Rfam family "Bacterial small subunit ribosomal RNA", at positions 355 to 776 of the family's 1533-position model. The record is from RNAcentral. Lineage: Bacteria; Fusobacteriati; Fusobacteriota.